This 1620-nucleotide small RNA is filed under the name Pan troglodytes (chimpanzee). RNAcentral describes it as "processed transcript". The record is from RNAcentral. Lineage: Eukaryota; Metazoa; Chordata; Mammalia; Primates; Hominidae.
GUUAGUUCGGCCCAGUGGCGGCACCGCUGCUUCACACGCGUUUGCCGGGAGAUGCGGCCGCUUCGUCCUCUGCAGUCAAGAUGCUGGGCGCGUCGAGGACUGGGAUUUCAAAUAUGCAUGCAUUAGAGAAUGAUUUUUUCAAUUCUCCCCCAAGAAAAACUGUUCAGUUUGGUGGAACUGUGACAGAAGUCUUGCUGAAGUACAAAAAGAGUGAAACGAAUGACUUUGAGUUGUUGAAGAACCAGCUGUUAGAUCCAGACAUAAAGAGAUUGCCUUGGUUGAAUACAAGUCAAACAGUAGUGGAAGAGUAUUUGGCUUUUCUUGGUAAUCUUGUAUCAGCACAGACUGUUUUCCUCAGACCGUGUCUCAGCAUGAUUGCUUCCCAUUUUGUGCCUCCCCGAGUGAUCAUUAAGGAAGGCGAUGUAGAUGUUUCAGAUUCUGAUGAUGAAGAUGAUAAUAUUCCUGCAAAUUUUGACACAUGUCACAGAGCCUUGCAAAUAAUAGCAAGAUAUGUACCAUCGAAUGUUACGUUCAUAACUUACUAAGGAUUAGUGUAUAUUUUCCAACCUUGAGGCAUGAAAUUCUGGAGCUUAUUAUUGAAAAACUACUCAAGUUGGAUGUGAAUGCAUCCCGGCAGGGUAUUGAAGAUGCUGAAGAAACAGCAUAUCAAACUUGUGGUGGGACAGAUUCCAUGGAAGGAUUGUUUAAUAUGGUUAGCAGUUUAUUAAUGAAAGUGGAGAUGAAGUUUAUCAUAAUCAAAGGGUGGAAACAGCUAGUGCUGCUCAUCUUUGGAUUCGCAGAGGCAUUUUUGGAACAUCUUUGGAAAAAAUUGCAGGAUCCAAGUAAUCCUGCCAUCAUCAGGCAGGCUGCUGGAAAUUAUAUUGGAAGCUUUUUGGCAAGAGCUAAAUUUAUUCCUCUUAUUACUGUAAAAUCAUGCCUAGAUCUUUUGGUUAACUGGCUGCACAUAUACCUUAAUAACCAGGAUUCGGGAACAAAGGCAUUCUGCGAUGUUGCUCUCCAUGGACCAUUUUACUCAGCCUGCCAAGCUGUGUUCUACACCUUUGUUUUUAGACACAAGCAGCUUUUGAGCGGAAACCUGAAAGAAGGUUUGCAGUAUCUUCAGAGUCUGAAUUUUGAGCGGAUAGUGAUGAGCCAGCUAAAUCCCCUGAAGAUUUGCCUGCCCUCAGUGGUUAACUUUUUGGCUGCAAUCACAAAUAAGUACCAGCUCGUCUUCUGCUACACCAUCAUUGAGAGGAACAAUCACCAGAUGCUGCCAGUCAUUAGGAGUACCACUGGAGGAGACUCAGUGCAGACCUGCACAAACCCACUGGACACCUUCUUCCCCUUUGAUCCCUGUGUGCUGAAGAGGUCAAAGAAAUUCAUUGAUCCUAUUUAUCAGGUAUGGGAAGACAUGAGUGCUGAAGAGCUACAGGAGUUCAAGAAACCCAUGAAAAAGUUGUUUUGGAGAAUCAUGUAGCAACAGAUGAAGACGAACCUGCUUUGAAAUGCCAGCGACUAGAAAUCAAUUGCCAGGAUCCAUCUAUAAAGUCAUUCCUGUAUUCCAUCAACCAGACAAUCUGCUUGCGGUUGGAUAGCAUUGAAGCCAAAUUGCAAGCCCUG